Molecule: ribosomal RNA, 519 nt
Filed under: uncultured eukaryote
Lineage: Eukaryota
Description: SSU rRNA
Rfam family: Eukaryotic small subunit ribosomal RNA
Source: RNAcentral
AGGGCACCACCAGGAGUGGAGCCUGCGGCUUAAUUUGACUCAACACGGGAAAACUCACCCGGCCCGGACACUGGAAGGAUUGACAGAUUGAGAGCUCUUUCUUGAUUCAGUGGGUGGUGGUGCAUGGCCGUUCUUAGUUGGUGGAGCGAUUUGUCUGGUUAAUUCCGAUAACGAACGAGACUCUAGCCUACUAAAUAGAUCGUUGGCUUACCAACGCCAAUGAGACUUCUUAGAGGGACAGGCGGCGAUUCAGCCGCACGAAACAGAGCAAUAACAGGUCUGUGAUGCCCUUAGAUGUCCGGGGCCGCACGCGCGCUACACUGAAGUGAUCAGCGUGCAUUCUCAGCCUACUCUGCCAAGAGUGGGAAACCCCAAUGAACCUUCUUCGUGAUUGGGAUAGGAGAUUGUAAUUAUUCUCCUUGAACGAGGAAUUCCCAGUAAGCGCGAGUCAUAAGCUCGCGUUGAUUACGUCCCUGCCCUUUGUACACACCGCCCGUCGCUACUACCGAUUGAAUGUUU